This 465-nucleotide ribosomal RNA is filed under the name uncultured bacterium. Its description in RNAcentral is "partial 16S ribosomal RNA". It matches the Rfam family "Bacterial small subunit ribosomal RNA", at positions 28 to 507 of the family's 1533-position model. The record is from RNAcentral.
GACGAACGCUGGCGGCGUGCUUAACACAUGCAAGUCGAACGGAAAGGCCCUGCUUGCGGGGUACUCGAGUGGCGAACGGGUGAGUAACACGUGGGUGAUCUGCCCUGCACUUCGGGAUAAGCCUGGGAAACUGGGUCUAAUACCGGAUAGGAGCCAUUUUUAGGGUGAUGGUUGGAAAGUUUUUUCGGGGUAGGAUGAGGUCGCGGCCUAUCUGGUUGCUGGUGGGGUAAUGGCCUACCAAGGCGGGGACGGGUAGCCGGCCUGGGGGGGUGGACGGCCACAAUGGGACUGAGAUACGGCCCAGACUCCUACGGGAGGCAGCAGUGGGGAAUAUUGCACAAUGGGCGCAAGCCUGAUGCAGCGACGCCGCGUGGGGGAUGACGGCCUUCGGGUUGUAAACUCCUUUCGCUAGGGACGAAGCUUUUUGUGACGGUACCUAGAGAAGAAGCACCGGCUAACUACGUG